RNAcentral lists this ribosomal RNA (618 nucleotides) under uncultured bacterium. RNAcentral describes it as "bacterial SSU rRNA". It matches the Rfam family "Bacterial small subunit ribosomal RNA", at positions 338 to 950 of the family's 1533-position model. The record is from RNAcentral.
CCUACGGGAGGCAGCAGUGGGGAAUUUUGGACAAUGGGGGCAACCCUGAUCCAGCCAUUCCGCGUGAGUGAAGAAGGCCUUCGGGUUGUAAAGCUCUUUCGCAAGGGAAGAAAACUUAUGAUCGAAUAAAUCAUGAGGUUGACGGUACCUUGAUAAGAAGCACCGGCUAACUACGUGCCAGCAGCCGCGGUAAUACGUAGGGUGCGAGCGUUAAUCGGAAUUACUGGGCGUAAAGCGUGCGCAGGCGGUUUUGUAAGUCGGAUGUGAAAUCCCCGGGCUCAACCUGGGAACUGCGUUCGAAACUGCAAGGCUAGAGUGUGUCAGAGGGGGGUAGAAUUCCACGUGUAGCAGUGAAAUGCGUAGAGAUGUGGAGGAAUACCAAUGGCGAAGGCAGCCCCCUGGGAUAACACUGACGCUCAUGCACGAAAGCGUGGGGAGCAAACAGGAUUAGAUACCCUGGUAGUCCACGCCCUAAACGAUGUCAACUAGUUGUUGGUAGAGUAAAAUCUAUGAGUAACGUAGCUAACGCGUGAAGUUGACCGCCUGGGGAGUACGGUCGCAAGAUUAAAACUCAAAGGAAUUGACGGCUAGAGCGUGACGAGCACGACGGAGGGUUAG